AAGCGCUUGCAAUCAGACUUGCAUGCAGUUGAUCAUCCGAUGUUCUCACCGGUGCACUCAAUUGCGUUCAGGCCAGCAUUGGUUUUGGUGGUUGGAUAAAGGCCUAGGGAAUGUAGCUUCCUUCGGGGAGUGUUAUAGCCCUCGGUGCAAUGCCGCCUACCUGGACCGAGGACCGCGCUUCGGCUAGGAUGCUGGCGUAAUGGUUGUAAGCGA
RNAcentral lists this ribosomal RNA (213 nucleotides) under Epiglia sp. RNAcentral's name for it is "partial large subunit ribosomal RNA". The record is from RNAcentral. Lineage: Eukaryota; Fungi; Ascomycota; Leotiomycetes; Leotiales; Mniaeciaceae.